Small nucleolar RNA from Leptopilina boulardi, 74 nucleotides. RefSeq annotates it as small nucleolar RNA SNORD18. The transcript has a single exon. NCBI's taxonomy places the organism in Eukaryota, Metazoa, Arthropoda, Insecta, Hymenoptera, Figitidae. The record is from RefSeq and is a predicted model, not a curated record.
CCUUUAUGAUGAAUUGCUUUGGUCCGUGUUGCUGAUUUGCUUCUGAUUUUAAAACAAAGCUGAUAUCUGAUUCG